GAUGAAGAACGCAGCGAAAUGCGAUAAGUAAUGUGAAUUGCAGAAUUCAGUGAAUCAUCGAAUCUUUGAACGCACAUUGCGCCCGCCAGUAUUCUGGCGGGCAUGCCUGUUCGAGCGUCAUUUCAACCCUCAGGCCCCGCCUGGCGUUGGGGAUCGGCGCGGCCCUCUCCGGGCUGCCGGCCCCGAAAACUAGUGGCGGUCUCGCUGUAGUCCUCCUCUGCGCAGUAGCAACGCUCGCACUGGAACUCGGCGCGGCCACGCCGUAAAACACCCCACUUCUGAAAGUUGACCUCGGAUCAGGUAGGAAUACCCGCUGAACUUAAGCAUAUCAAUAAGCGGAGGG
Molecule: unclassified non-coding RNA, 343 nt
Filed under: soil metagenome
Description: partial contains 5.8S ribosomal RNA, internal transcribed spacer 2, and large subunit ribosomal RNA
Rfam family: 5.8S ribosomal RNA (bases 1-120)
Source: RNAcentral